GUUAAGCAUGUAAAAGGCAUCCAAAACUGCAGUUCAGCACCUAUGAAAUGACUUAUUAACUUUGCCUGCGUAAGGAUUCUGGAAUGAAGCAGAAGAAGGAAAGGUGUAAGGGACAAAUAAUGUCUUUCUUAAUUGAUACCAAGUGUACCUCUGGAACUAGAUGAUCCAGCCAUACCAACCGUUUUAGAACAGGUGCUUUUCUCUCAUCAAAGAAUCAAAAGAAAAACAACAAAACAACAACAAAAACACAGAAGCAACAAUAACAACCAAAUGAACAAACAAACAAAAAAACCCAAAUGAAGGGAGAGUCAGUUUCCCCUAGGGCUGAAACUUUGCAGCAG
Leopardus geoffroyi (Geoffroy's cat) is the source of this 341-nucleotide long non-coding RNA. RefSeq lists it as uncharacterized. The record is from RefSeq and is a predicted model, not a curated record. Lineage: Eukaryota; Metazoa; Chordata; Mammalia; Carnivora; Felidae. The transcript has 4 exons.